Molecule: long non-coding RNA, 1342 nt
Organism: Oncorhynchus tshawytscha (Chinook salmon)
Lineage: Eukaryota; Metazoa; Chordata; Actinopteri; Salmoniformes; Salmonidae
Source: Ensembl
AGCUACGCAUAUUACGCACUGCAUUGUUUGGGCCAGAUCUUUGUGUCUUUCAACAUGGCGGCUCUGUGGAAGCUGCCGUGUAUCUUCAUCUGUAACAACAACAAGUUCGGCAUGGGGACGUCUGUAGAGAGGUCCUCUGCUAGCACUGAGGACUUCAAGAAAAUAGACUAUAUUCCUGGCCUCAAGCCCUAGGACCAUGCCUCAGGACUACUUGGCCUGAUGACUCCUUGCUGUCUCCAGUCCACCUGGUCGUGCUGCUACUCCAGUUUCAACUGUUCCGCCUGUGGCUAUGGAACCCUGACCUGUUCACCGGACGUGCUACCUGUCCCAGACCUGCUGUUUUCAACUCUCUAGAGACAGCAGGAGCGGUAGAGAUACUCUUAAUGAACAGCUAUGAAAAGCCAACUGACAUUUACUCCUGAGGUGCUGACUUGCUGCACCCUCAACAACUACUGUGAUUAUUAUUAUUAUUAUUUGACCAUGCUGGUCAUUUAUGAACAUUUGAACAUCUUGGCCAUGUUCUGUUAUAAUCUACACCUGGCACAUCCAGAUGAGGACUGGUCACCCCUCAUAGCCAGGUUCCUCUCUAGGCUUCUUCCUAGGUUUUGGCCUUUCUAGGGAGUUUUUCCUAGCCACCGUGCUUCUACACCUGCAUUGCUUGCUGUUUGGGGUUUUAGGCCGGGUUUCUGUACAGCACUUUGAGAUAUCAGCUGAUGUGAGAAGGGCUAUAUAAAUACAUUUGAUUUGAGUUAUCCAGAAAACAUGACCCAUGUAUUCAUGACCCAUGUACAGUGGUUCAAAGAGCAACUUUUGCAUAGAUAAUUAUGCAACCACUUUUGUUAUCCAGCAAUGUUGAUUCAAUGAUGCACAUGUUUAUAUUCAAAACAAAGAAGUUGUAAUUAAUCAAAGUCUUAUUGUCUCAUUUAAUGUAUUGACUGUACAUUUUAUAUAACAACAUGUUUCCUAAGUUGUAGAUGACUAUGUUGGUUACUAUGCUGUACCACAGCGCCGAUGUCAAGUCUUCCGCAAAAGUUGGUCUCUCUCCUUGUUCGGGCAGUGUUCGGCGGUUGACGUCACCAACCAUUUAGCCAUCAUUGAUCAAUUUUUCAUUUUCCAUUGGUUUUAUCUUGUCUGUCUACACACCUGGUUCCAAUCCCAUCAAUUACAUGUUGUGUAUUUAACCCUCUGUUUCCCCUCAUGUCCUUGUCAGAGAUUGUUUGGUGUAUGUAGGUGUUUAUUGUUAAUUCUGGUGUGCGAUGGGUUUUGUACCCCCUAUUUGUUAUUUUGUUACUUUGGUUUUCGGAGGUUUUGAUGUUUAUUAAACAGCUCCAUUUUUAACAAA